RNAcentral lists this ribosomal RNA (469 nucleotides) under uncultured bacterium. Its description in RNAcentral is "partial 16S ribosomal RNA". It matches the Rfam family "Bacterial small subunit ribosomal RNA", at positions 28 to 507 of the family's 1533-position model. The record is from RNAcentral.
GACGAACGCUGGCGGCGUGCUUAACACAUGCAAGUCGAACGGAAAGGCCCUGCUUGCAGGGUGCUCGAGUGGCGAACGGGUGAGUAACACGUGGGUGAUCUGCCCCUUACUUUGGGAUAAGCCUGGGAAACUGGGUCUAAUACUGGAUAGGACCAUGCUGUAGGUGGUGUGGUGGAAAGAUUAGUUUCGGUAAGGGAUGAGCUCGCGGCCUAUCAGCUUGUUGGUGGGGUAAUGGCCUACCAAGGCGUCGCCGGGUAGCCGGCCUGAGAGGGUGGACGGCCACAUUGGGACUGAGAUACGGCCCAGACUCCUACGGGAGGCAGCAGUGGGGAAUAUUGCACAAUGGGCGCAAGCCUGAUGCAGCGACGCCGCGUGGGGGAUGACGGCCUUCGGGUUGUAAACUCCUUUCAGCCAUGACGAAGCCCUUGUGGUGACGGUAGUGGUAGAAGAAGCACCGGCUAACUACGUG